UACGGAGGGCGCGAGCGUUAAUCGGAAUUACUGGGCGUAAAGCGCGCGUAGGCUGUUGUGUAAGUUGGGGGUGAAAUCCCACGGCUCAACCGUGGAACAGCCCUUGAUACUGCGCGACUUGAAUCCGGGAGAGGGUGGCGGAAUUCCAGGUGUAGGAGUGAAAUCCGCAGAUAUCUGGAGGAACCUCAGUGGCGAAGGCGGCCACCUGGACCGGUAUUGACGCUGAGGCGCGAAAGCGUGGGGAGCAAACAGG
Molecule: ribosomal RNA, 253 nt
Filed under: uncultured bacterium
Lineage: Bacteria
Description: partial 16S ribosomal RNA
Rfam family: Bacterial small subunit ribosomal RNA
Source: RNAcentral